This 333-nucleotide unclassified non-coding RNA is filed under the name soil metagenome. Its description in RNAcentral is "partial contains 5.8S ribosomal RNA, internal transcribed spacer 2, and large subunit ribosomal RNA". The stretch from base 1 to 120 matches the Rfam family "5.8S ribosomal RNA", at positions 35 to 154 of the family's 154-position model. The record is from RNAcentral.
GAUGAAGAACGCAGCGAAAUGUGAUAAGUAAUGUGAAUUGCAGAAUUCAGUGAAUCAUCGAAUCUUUGAACGCACAUUGCGCCCCUCGGUAUUCCGUGGGGCAUGCCUGUUCGAGCGUCAUUUACCCCUCAAGCACUGCUUGGUGUUGGGCGUCUGUCCCGCUUCGCGCGCGGACUCGCCCCAAAGGUAUUGGCAGCGGUCGUGCCAGCUUCUCGCGCAGCACAUUGCGCUUCUCGAGGCGGUCGAUCGGCGUCCACGAAGCUCACCUCCACCGUUUGACCUCGGAUCAGGUAGGGAUACCCGCUGAACUUAAGCAUAUCAAUAAGCGGAGGA